GCUGGCUGAAUGUACUGGAAGAAUAAGGAUCGGCUAACUCCGUGCCCAGCAGCCGCGGUAAUACGGAGGAUCCGAGCGUUAUCCGGAUUUAUUGGGUUUAAAGGGUGCGUAGGCGGCCUGUUAAGUCAGGGGUGAAAUACGGUGGCUCAACCAUCGCAGUGCCUUUGAUACUGACGGGCUUGAAUCCAUUUGAAGUGGGCGGAAUAAGACAAGUAGCGGUGAAAUGCAUAGAUAUGUCUUAGAACUCCGAUUGCGAAGGCAGCUCACUAAGCUGGUAUUGACGCUGAUGCACGAAAGCGUGGGGAUCGAACAGGAUUAGAUACCCUGGUAGUCCACGCCCUAAACGAUGAUAACUCGAUGUUGGCGAUAGACCGCCAGCGUCCAAGCGAAAGCGUUAAGUUAUCCACCUGGGGAGUACGCCCGCAAGGGUGAAACUCAAAGGAAUUGACGGGGGCCCGCACAAGCGGAGGAGCAUGUGGUUUAAUUCGAUGAUACGCGAGGAACCUUACCCGGGCUUGAAAGUUAGUGAAGGAUGCAGAGACGCAUCCGUCCUUCGGGACACGAAACUAGGUGCUGCAUGGCUGUCGUCAGCUCGUGCCGUGAGGUGUUGGGUUAAGUCCCGCAACGAGCGCAACCCCUAUGUUUAGUUGCCAGCAAGUAAUGUUGGGGACUCUAAACAGACUGCCUGCGCAAGCAGAGAGGAAGGUGGGGACGACGUCAAGUCAUCAUGGCCCUUACGUCCGGGGCUACACACGUGCUACAAUGGAUGGUACAGCGGGCAGCUACAUAGCAAUAUGGUGCUAAUCUCUAAAAGCCAUUCACAGUUCGGAUUGGGGUCUGCAACUCGACCCCAUGAAGUUGGAUUCGCUAGUAAUCGCGUAUCAGCAAUGACGCGGUGAAUACGUUCCCGGGCCUUGUACACACCGCCCGUCAAGCCAUGAAAGUUGGGGGUACCUAAAGCAUGUGACCGCAAGGAGCGGUUAGG
RNAcentral lists this ribosomal RNA (985 nucleotides) under Sphingobacterium sp. VM39. RNAcentral describes it as "bacterial SSU rRNA". It matches the Rfam family "Bacterial small subunit ribosomal RNA", at positions 464 to 1461 of the family's 1533-position model. The record is from RNAcentral. Lineage: Bacteria; Pseudomonadati; Bacteroidota; Sphingobacteriia; Sphingobacteriales; Sphingobacteriaceae.